Molecule: long non-coding RNA, 1173 nt
Filed under: Felis catus (domestic cat)
Lineage: Eukaryota; Metazoa; Chordata; Mammalia; Carnivora; Felidae
Description: lncRNA (ENSFCAG00000044994.2)
Source: RNAcentral
UUAAUAACUGGAUGGAAGAAUUUUCUUUCCCUAUAUCACUUCUUGGCUGGAAAUCCUAUGAUUAUAUAUACCUUAUCUCAACAUCUGCCAGCAACCUCUCUCUAGGAAAUGGUCUGUCGUGGAGGAAUCUCUAUACCUAACAUGGGGCUCGAACUCACUACGCAAGAAUCUCACGCUCCACUGGCUGAGCCAGCCAGGCGCUCCAAAGCUCUCACGCCUUCAAGCAGAGUGUGUCCACCCUCUGCUUUUUUAAAGUUUGCCUUAUGCCGCUUCACUUUCAUGAAAGAUCUACAUUGGUACCUGUUUUUGCUAACUGAAAGAAAUCUAAAGAGGAUUUUCACUUUUCCAAAAAAAAGCGUGCAAAGCAAAAAUUGCUUUCAGCGUUUGUUUUGCGGUGAAUGGUUAUAGAGGCAGCGCGAACCCCAACAGCGAGAGUGGCCUUGCUAAGCUCUUUCCCUGGAACGACACCCAGCAUCUUUGCAUCAAGCCACCAUAGCUCUGAACUCUGUGAGCAUCCACACUCUAUCUCGACUUACUGUGUGUAUCUACUAGCAAGACGUGUCCCAAGGUUUCAGAAAAGCCUCAGAGAUUAUUUUUUUGUGUCUGGGAACACUUGGAAAAAUUUCCAUAUAAAUUAAUGGUAAUCGCUUCUUCAGUUUAUGCCAUUUCAGCCUACAAAAGCGUUCAUUAGGUAUGCUCUGUUUUCAAAUACUGGGGGAAACCUGUAUUUUAUUUUAUUUUUUUAACGUUUAUUUAUUUUUUGAGAGAUACAGAGACAGAGUAUGAGCGGGGGAAGGGCAGAGAGAGUGGGAGACACAGAAUCCGAAGCAGGCUCCAGGCUCCCAGCUGUCAACACAGAGCCCGAUGCCGGGCUCCAACUCACUAACCGUGAGAUCAUGACCUGAGCCGAAGUCGGACGCUUAACCGACUGAGCCACCCAGGCACCCCUGUAAAACCUGUAUUUUAAAAAUGAUUCAAAGACACGCAUUUUUGUUGAGUAGUAUGUCAACAUUAUUUUAAUGACUCUUAGCAAAAAAUUAAAAAUAAUAUUACCUACUCUAGUAUCUGUUACAUUUAUUUGCUAUCUUCUUUUAGUUCAAAAUUGAAAGAGAAUUCAUCUCCAAGAGACUUCUUAAAAGGUUUUUGUCAUUAAUAAAAACAAAAAUGAUUUCA